GACGAACGCUGGCGGCGUGCUUAACACAUGCAAGUCGAACGGAAAGGCCCUGCUUUUGUGGGGUGCUCGAGUGGCGAACGGGUGAGUAACACGUGAGUAACCUGCCCUUGACCUUGGGAUAACUUCAGGAAACUGGGGCUAAUACCGGAUAGGAGCUCCUGCUGCAUGGUGGUGGUUGGAAAGUUUCGGCGGUUGGGGAUGGACUCGCGGCUUAUCAGCUUGUUGGUGGGGUAGUGGCUUACCAAGGCUUUGACGGGUAGCCGGCCUGAGAGGGUGACCGGCCACAUUGGGACUGAGAUACGGCCCAGACUCCUACGGGAGGCAGCAGUGGGGAAUAUUGCACAAUGGGCGGAAGCCUGAUGCAGCAACGCCGCGUGCGGGAUGACGGCCUUCGGGUUGUAAACCGCUUUCGCCUGUGACGAAGCGUGAGUGACGGUAAUGGGGAAAGAAGCACCGGCUAACUACGU
RNAcentral lists this ribosomal RNA (467 nucleotides) under uncultured bacterium. RNAcentral describes it as "partial 16S ribosomal RNA". It matches the Rfam family "Bacterial small subunit ribosomal RNA", at positions 28 to 506 of the family's 1533-position model. The record is from RNAcentral.